Molecule: long non-coding RNA, 390 nt
Organism: Brassica oleracea var. oleracea
Lineage: Eukaryota; Viridiplantae; Streptophyta; Magnoliopsida; Brassicales; Brassicaceae
Exons: 3
Source: RefSeq, a predicted model, not a curated record
GUAUUAUACAUCUAGUGAAGAAUUGCAGAACUAUCAUUGGUUUGAACCUAAAUGGCUGCAAGGUAGCUGAAAGUUAUCAAGACUUAAAAAGAGUCACUGAAUAAUAUCACUAGGUGUGUUAAGAUCACAGAUGAUGGAUUACUUAAAGUGCUACAGAUGUGUUAUACCAUCCAGAAGCAUAAUUCUAUUUUAUCUGGCUAAAAAUAUUGAAGAUCCAGCAGUUGUAAGUUCUUGACCUGAUCAUGAAUAUUUUGCAGAUUCACAGACAAGGCCUACAAGAAGAUAUCUCUUUUGCUUGAUCCAAGUUGCUUAGAUCUAUGUUUAAUACACGUUGGAGAGGUAACAGUUGUUGGUGCGAAGGGAAAUUUAGGGCGUUUCAUCAAUAACUGC